UACAGAGGGGGCAAGCGUUGUUCGGAAUUACUGGGCGUAAAGGGCGCGUAGGCGGCCGCCUAAGUCAGACGUGAAAUCCCUCGGCUCAACCGGGGAACUGCGUCUGAUACUGGGUGGCUUGAAUUCGGGAGAGGGAUGCGGAAUUCCAGGUGUAGCGGUGAAAUGCGCAGAUAUCAGGAGGAACACCGGUGGCGAAAGCGCACAUCUGGCCCGAUACUGACGCUGAGGCGCGAAAGCUAGGGGAGCAAACGGG
Molecule: ribosomal RNA, 253 nt
Filed under: uncultured bacterium
Lineage: Bacteria
Description: partial 16S ribosomal RNA
Rfam family: Bacterial small subunit ribosomal RNA
Source: RNAcentral